Molecule: non-coding RNA, 258 nt
Organism: Heterocephalus glaber (naked mole-rat)
Lineage: Eukaryota; Metazoa; Chordata; Mammalia; Rodentia; Bathyergidae
Source: RefSeq, a predicted model, not a curated record
GGAUUGAGACAGAUGCAGACCCCGAAGCCCACUCCACACCAGGGUUUGUAGUACAGCGUGUUGCUCCUGGCUUACACACUCGAACAGCGGGUUGCUGUACUCACUACUGCAUGGGUGUGACACAGUGGUCUUAUUUUGGGAAGUUAUAGGAAACCUCUGUUUUGAAAAUCUCCAUUGUUGCAGAAGCACGUCUUUUAUGUCUCCAGACCAACAAGCCUUGCAGUUAAUUUAAUGCCUGCAGUUUAACAGGGAGGGCCU